UAAAAAAAGGUAAGCUACUAAGAGCGAAUGGUGGAUGCCUUGACUGGUAAAGGCGAUGAAGGACGUACUAGACUGCGAUAAGCUACGGGGAGCUGUCAAGAAGCUUUGAUCCGUAGAUUUCCGAAUGGGGCAACCCAAUGUAUAGAGAUAUACAUUACCUAUAUAGGAGCGAACGAGGGGAAUUGAAACAUCUUAGUACCCUCAGGAAAAGAAAUCAAUAGAGAUUGCGUCAGUAGCGGCGAGCGAAAGCGCAAGAGGGCAAACCCAGUGCUUGCACUGGGGGUUGUAGGACUGCAAUGUGCAAGAGCUGAGUUUAGCAGAACAUUCUGGAAAGUAUAGCCAUAGAGGGUGAUAGUCCCGUAUGCGAAAAACAAAGCUUAGCUAGCAGUAUCCUGAGUAGGGCGGGACACGAGGAAUCCUGUCUGAAUCCGGGUCGACCACGAUCCAACCCUAAAUACUAAUACCAGAUCGAUAGUGCACAAGUACCGUGAGGGAAAGGUGAAAAGAACUGAGGUGAUCAGAGUGAAAUAGAACCUGAAACCAUUUGCUUACAAUCAUUCAGAGCACUAUGUAGCAAUACAGUGUGAUGGACUGCCUUUUGCAUAAUGAGCCUGCGAGUUGUGGUGUCUGGCAAGGUUAAGCAAACGCGAAGCCGUAGCGAAAGCGAGUCUGAAUAGGGCGCUUAGUCAGAUGCUGCAGACCCGAAACGAAGUGAUCUAUCCAUGAGCAAGUUGAAGCUAGUGUAAGAACUAGUGGAGGACUGAACCCAUAGGCGUUGAAAAGCCCCGGGAUGACUUGUGGAUAGGGGUGAAAGGCCAAUCAAACUUCGUGAUAGCUGGUUCUCUCCGAAAUAUAUUUAGGUAUAGCGUUGUGUCGUAAUAUAAGGGGGUAGAGCACUGAAUGGGCUAGGGCAUACACCAAUGUACCAAACCCUAUCAAACUCCGAAUACCUUAUAUGUAAUCACAGCAGUCAGGCGGCGAGUGAUAAAAUCCGUCGUCAAGAGGGAAACAACCCAGACUACCAGCUAAGGUCCCUAAAUCUUACUUAAGUGGAAAACGAUGUGAAGUUACUUAAACAACCAGGAGGUUGGCUUAGAAGCAGCCAUCCUUUAAAGAAAGCGUAAUAGCUCACUGGUCUAGUGAUUUUGCGCGGAAAAUAUAACGGGGCUAAAGUAAGUACCGAAGCUGUAGACUUGCACACAACUUAGAUUAUUUAAGUUUAGAAUAUGAGAAACUAAGUUAUAUGUUUAGUUAUAUUUUUACUGAUUUUUAUAGAGUAAAGAUAGAAAUAAAACUUAAUAAAAUCAGUAAAAAUAUUCUUAGGCUAAAGUUAAGUAGUUUAAGUUGUGUGCAAGUGGUAGGAGAGCGUUCUAUUUGCGUCGAAGGUAUACCGGUAAGGAGUGCUGGAGCGAAUAGAAGUGAGCAUGCAGGCAUGAGUAGCGAUAAUUAAUGUGAGAAUCAUUAACGCCGUAAACCCAAGGUUUCCUACGCGAUGCU
This 1497-nucleotide ribosomal RNA is filed under the name Campylobacter jejuni. RNAcentral describes it as "partial 23S ribosomal RNA". It matches the Rfam family "Bacterial large subunit ribosomal RNA", at positions 1 to 1366 of the family's 2925-position model. Lineage: Bacteria; Pseudomonadati; Campylobacterota; Epsilonproteobacteria; Campylobacterales; Campylobacteraceae. The record is from RNAcentral.